Molecule: ribosomal RNA, 429 nt
Filed under: uncultured bacterium
Lineage: Bacteria
Description: bacterial SSU rRNA
Rfam family: Bacterial small subunit ribosomal RNA
Source: RNAcentral
UGGGGAAUUUUGCGCAAUGGGCGAAAGCCUGACGCAGCAACGCCGCGUGGAGGAUGAAGGCCCUUGGGUUGUAAACUCCUGUCAGCAGGGAAAAAGGAGGUCGGGUUAAUACCCUGGCCGCUUGAUUGUACCUGCAGAGGAAGCCCCGGCUAACUCUGUGCCAGCAGCCGCGGUAAUACAGAGGGGGCGAGCGUUAUUCGGAAUUAUUGGGCGUAAAGGGCGCGUAGGUGGCCAAGUAAGCGGAAGGUGAAAUCCCUCGGCUCAACCGAGGAACUGCCCUCCGAACUGCGAGGCUUGAGUCCGGGAGAGGUGAGUGGAAUUCCCAGUGUAGCGGUGAAAUGCGUAGAUAUUGGGAGGAACACCAGUGGCGAAGGCGGCUCACUGGACCGGAACUGACGCUGAGGCGCGAAAGCGUGGGGAGCAAACAGG